GGAACAGCCGGCGGCACCGGGAGCGGGGAAAGGGGACGGCAUCGCCGCCGGGAACGGGAGCGGGGAAAGGGAACGGGCGAUGGGACCAGGCACGGCACCAGGAAGGGGAACAGGCACCCGGCACGGGAAUGGCAUUGGCACCGGGCAUGGGAACGGGCAGCGGGAAGGGAACGAGUUGCUCCCCAGGAAUGCCGGAGCACCAGCCCGGCUGUGCCGCGCCCUGACGUGCUUCCCACAUGCAGGGUGUGGGCAGGAGAGGUGGCACCUGCACUGCCUGGUGACAAGUGACAGCCAAGAUCAUCCCUGGGACAGUGCAGCAACAGGGGACACAACCCGCAGAAGCCCACGCUGGCCCGGGACCCCCAUCCUGUGGGGCUUGGGGAUGCCCCGGGAUGUCCCCAAGGUGCUGCUGUGUCCACAGGGGGACAUACAGGAAAAUCCCACACCACAGGAGGUGACAAGGACUCCGUGCCACCUCAGCGGGCUUGGAGACAUCUCUCCCCACUGGAGCCGGAUGGUGUUUUUCUAUCUUUUUAUUAUAAAAACUCUUUUAUUUUUUUGGCAUUCUCACA
Long non-coding RNA from Catharus ustulatus (Swainson's thrush), 572 nucleotides. RefSeq lists it as uncharacterized. The transcript is spliced from 2 exons. Lineage: Eukaryota; Metazoa; Chordata; Aves; Passeriformes; Turdidae. The record is from RefSeq and is a predicted model, not a curated record.